ACGCUGGCGGCGUGCCUAAUACAUGCAAGUAGAACGCUGAAGGAGGAGCUUGCUUCUCCGGAUGAGUUGCGAACGGGUGAGUAACGCGUAGGUAACCUGCCUGGUAGCGGGGGAUAACUAUUGGAAACGAUAGCUAAUACCGCAUAAGAGUAGAUGUUGCAUGACAUUUGCUUAAAAGGUGCAAUUGCAUCACUACCAGAUGGACCUGCGUUGUAUUAGCUAGUUGGUGGGGUAACGGCUCACCAAGGCGACGAUACAUAGCCGACCUGAGAGGGUGAUCGGCCACACUGGGACUGAGACACGGCCCACACUCCUACGGGAGGCAGCAGUAGGGAAUCUUCGGCAAUGGACGGAAGUCUGACCGAGCAACGCCGCGUGAGUGAAGAAGGUUUUCGGAUCGUAAAGCUCUGUUGUAAGAGGAGAACGAGUGUGAGAGUGGAAAGUUCACACUGUGACGGUAUCUUACCAGAAAGGGACGGCUAACUACGUGCCACCAGCCGCGGUAAUACGUAGGUCCCGAGCGUUGUCCGGAUUUAUUGGGCGUAAAGCGAGCGCAGGCGGUUAGAUAAGUCUGAAGUUAAAGGCUGUGGCUUAACCAUAGUACGCUUUGGAAACUGUUUAACUUGAGUGCAAGAGGGGAGAGUGGAAUUCCAUGUGUAGCGGUGAAAUGCGUUGAUAUAUGGAGGAACACCGGUGGCGAAAGCGGCUCUCUGGCUUGUAACUGACGCUGAGGCUCGAAAGCGUGGGGAGCAAACAGGAUUAGAUACCCUGGUAGUCCACGCCGUAAACGAUGAGUGCUAGGUGUUAGACCCUUUCCGGGGUUUAGUGCCGCAGCUAACGCAUUAAGCACUCCGCCUGGGGAGUACGACCGCAAGGUUGAAACUCAAAGGAAUUGACGGGGGCCCGCACA
Molecule: ribosomal RNA, 910 nt
Filed under: uncultured bacterium
Lineage: Bacteria
Description: bacterial SSU rRNA
Rfam family: Bacterial small subunit ribosomal RNA
Source: RNAcentral